Molecule: transfer RNA, 77 nt
Filed under: gamma proteobacterium HTCC5015
Lineage: Bacteria; Pseudomonadati; Pseudomonadota; Gammaproteobacteria
Also listed under: 8 other names
Description: tRNA-Arg
Rfam family: tRNA
About the family: Transfer RNA (tRNA) molecules are approximately 80 nucleotides in length. Their secondary structure includes four short double-helical elements and three loops (D, anti-codon, and T loops).
Source: RNAcentral
GCGCCUGUAGCUCAGCUGGAUAGAGUACCUGGCUACGAACCAGGCGGUCGGAGGUUCGAAUCCUUCCAGGCGCGCCA